GAUGAACGCUAGCUACAGGCUUAACACAUGCAAGUCGAGGGGUAACAAGAGAAAAGCUUGCUUUUCUUGUUGACGACCGGCGCACGGGUGAGUAACGCGUAUCCAACCUGCCUAUAACUAGGGAAUAACCUUGCGAAAGUAAGACUAAUACCCUAUGAUUUCCUUUGAUGACAUCAGAUUAGGAAUAAAGAUUUAUCGGUUAUAGAGGGGGAUGCGUCUGAUUAGCUUGUUGGCGGGGUAACGGCCCACCAAGGCAACGAUCAGUAGGGGUUCUGAGCGGAAGGUCCCCCAAAUUGGAACUGAGACACGUUCCAAACUGCUACGGGAGGCAGCAGUGAGGAAUAUUGGUCAAUGGGCUGAAGCCUGAACCAGCCAAGUAGCGUGCAGGAUGACGGCCCUAUGGGUUGUAAACUGCUUUUAUACAGGAAUAAAGUUAGCCACGUGUGGUUAUUUGUAGGUACUGUAUGAAUAAGGACCGGCUAAUUCCGUGCCAGCCGCCGCCGUAA
This 506-nucleotide ribosomal RNA is filed under the name uncultured bacterium. RNAcentral describes it as "partial 16S ribosomal RNA". It matches the Rfam family "Bacterial small subunit ribosomal RNA", at positions 28 to 523 of the family's 1533-position model. The record is from RNAcentral.